AAACGUCGAUCCUCUCUAACCUUAAAGAAAGAGUCGCGUUGGGAGGAAGAGCCGCUCAUCGGAUGAAAGGAGGAAGUGGAAUAUCUAUCCACAUGGGAGUGGCAUCUUACAGGCAGCUUACAGGCCUGGUACCAGCCUAUCCAUUCUUCAGCCUGAUGAAGAGAGAGAUAGAUAGAUGUGUGUGCAUUGUCCAGUGUCAGACUUCAAAGCUGAUCUCUCUUGACUGUCCAAACAACGGC
Molecule: long non-coding RNA, 239 nt
Organism: Lampris incognitus (smalleye Pacific opah)
Lineage: Eukaryota; Metazoa; Chordata; Actinopteri; Lampriformes; Lampridae
Exons: 3
Source: RefSeq, a predicted model, not a curated record